UUCGUCCAAGUGAAGCAGAGGACAGUGGCGGACGGGUGAGUAACGCGUGAGGAACCUGCCUUUCAGAGGGGGACAACAGUUGGAAACGACUGCUAAUACCGCAUGAUGUAUCGGGAUGGCAUCUUCCUGAUACCAAAGAUUUAUUGCUGAAAGAUGGCCUCGCGUCUGAUUAGAUAGUUGGUGGGGUAACGGCCUACCAAGUCGACGAUCAGUAGCCGGACUGAGAGGUUGAACGGCCACAUUGGGACUGAGAUACGGCCCAGACUCC
RNAcentral lists this ribosomal RNA (268 nucleotides) under uncultured Oscillospiraceae bacterium. Its description in RNAcentral is "partial 16S ribosomal RNA". It matches the Rfam family "Bacterial small subunit ribosomal RNA", at positions 74 to 339 of the family's 1533-position model. Lineage: Bacteria; Bacillati; Bacillota; Clostridia; Eubacteriales; Oscillospiraceae. The record is from RNAcentral.